Molecule: ribosomal RNA, 253 nt
Filed under: uncultured bacterium
Lineage: Bacteria
Description: partial 16S ribosomal RNA
Rfam family: Bacterial small subunit ribosomal RNA
Source: RNAcentral
UACGUAGGGGGCAAGCGUUGUCCGGAUUUAUUGGGCGUAAAGAGCGUGUAGGCGGCCAGAUAAGUCCGCUGUGAAAUCUCGAGGCUCAACUUCGAGCUGUCGGUGGAAACUGUCUGGCUAGAGUCCGGAAGAGGAGAAUGGAAUUCCUGGUGUAGCGGUGAAAUGCGCAGAUAUCAGGAAGAACACCCGUGGCGAAGGCGGUUCUCUGGGCCUUACCUGACGCUGAGGAGCGAAAGCGUGGGGAGCGAACAGG